AAGAGAAAAGAAGGGGGCGGAUCCAAUCACAUGUUGUCAUGACCCAACCCAAACACAACAUGGCAAGGGAACAAAAAGAUUCAUUUAAAAAAAAAAAUGCAAAAAAUGGACGCAGGAAAUAAAAAGACAUGUGGAGAUCAGACAUACUAUUUCCGCUGGCCUGUGCAGAACUUCAAAGCAUGUGCAAAUAACGCACGGGAAACUUCCGGUCAGUAGUCAGAUGUUAUGUAAGAAGGAGCAGAAAAAAAAUGGAACCUAGGCUUCCUCUGCUACGCAUGCUGCCUGCUCUUGACAGCUAGUUAAUCCUUUUCACUAGUCGAGUGACUCGAGAAGGGAUUGCUGUGGAGAGCAGCGCCUUCUUGUGUCUAAUAAUACUCGCAACACUCAAGUGGCAAUCAGGAAGAGGCGCUCGCUCCUGUCCAUCAUCUCACACUUGGGUGCUAUUUUCUCCACACGGAGAAAGGCUUCUUCUGGUGUCUUGAAUUAUUCCACACCUGUUAAAGAGUGAUAACCAAAUCAGCUUUCUGGACAAACAGCUGCUUGCAGAUGCAAACAGACAAGAGGAACAAAAAGAGCACGCUCCAUAAAGCACUUCAACAGCUGAACAGCUCCAGCUCAGCAUCCUCAUUAUCAGUAGAUCUCACUUCCUCUCCCGCCUGAAAAACAUCAACAGAUCCAAAGACGUUGUCAGGUUAAGCAAGAAUCGACAUCCUGUUGUAUGUGUUGGAGAACAUUUGAAUUCAUUCCCAUUUACAGUAUUUGUGCCACAUUAAAUGAAGAAAAGUGAAGCGAUAUACCAUUUAGAAAAUAAGCACCGUUUUUAUGACUUUUAUUUUAUACAUCUCCACUGUACUGGUAGAUCAGUUGAUCACUUUUCCUCCUUUGUCUUGCUUGACUUCCGACCGUGACUUGGUGAGGGUACACUGGACGAGGAACUGUCCGUAGUGCUGAUCCAUUCUUUCUCUUCUGAUAACACUACAUGAUGUCAUU
Molecule: long non-coding RNA, 990 nt
Organism: Syngnathus acus (greater pipefish)
Lineage: Eukaryota; Metazoa; Chordata; Actinopteri; Syngnathiformes; Syngnathidae
Exons: 4
Source: RefSeq, a predicted model, not a curated record